AGUGAACGCUGGCGGUAGGCCUAACACAUGCCAGUCGAACGGCAGCACAGUAAGAGCUUGCUCUUACGGGUGGCGAGUGGCGGACGAGUGAGGAAUACAUCGGAAUCUACUUUUUCGUGGGGGAUAACGUAGGGAAACUUACGCUAAUACCGCAUACGACCUACGGGUGAAAGCAGGGGAUCUUCGGACCUUGCGCGAUUGAAUGAGCCGAUGUCGGAUUAGCUAGUUGGCGGGGUAAAGGCCCACCAAGGCGACGAUCCGUAGCUGGUCUGAGAGGAUGAUCAGCCACACUGGAACUGAGACACGGUCCAGACUCCUAUGGGAGGCAGCAGUGGGGAAUAUUGGACAAUGGGCGCAAGCCUGAUCCAGCCAUACCGCGUGGGUGAAGAAGGCCUUCGGGUUGUAAAGCCCUUUUGUUGGGAAAGAAAAGCAGCAGGUUAAUACCCCGCUGUUCUGACGGUACCCAAAGAAUAAGCACCGGCUAACUUCGUG
RNAcentral lists this ribosomal RNA (492 nucleotides) under uncultured bacterium. Its description in RNAcentral is "partial 16S ribosomal RNA". It matches the Rfam family "Bacterial small subunit ribosomal RNA", at positions 29 to 507 of the family's 1533-position model. The record is from RNAcentral.